GAGCAGCUUCUCUAGAGGAGCAGCCGCGAGCGGUGCAGCCGCCGCCAGCUGUGACGAAUGAGAGCGAAGAUCUUAUCGCCAGAAGGAAGUGCUCUGCUGCUCUUCUCCGAAGCCACCGCGCUUAGCAGAAGAUGUGCCUGGAGCUUAUGGGCAAGGAAAAAAACAAAAGAGUUGCCCUUCUGCAAGUCAAGACACUCAGUAAACCCCUGAAGGGGAAGAUCACUGGAGGAUCCAUCCUAUGCUGUUGUGAAGGCUGGAGGGAUUGAGGAACUGUGUGAGCAUGCUAAUUUAGAAUUACUUCUCUCAUUCAAACUAAAUAAUUCCUGCCGUUAGUUUCACUGUGCGACCUCCUAGUCUUUGUUUUAUGGAACAGAGUAAAAAAAGAGGGACUGAUCCAUUUUCAUUGUCCUCUUACCUGGCUUAAACAAAGGGCCUGAAAUUCUUUUUCAUUCUGUGAGGUGACAAACCCUUUUGCCCAAUCAGGCAGAAAAUCUGCGAGUCUAAACUCACUGCAUUUCCUGUCUCUUACA
Molecule: long non-coding RNA, 530 nt
Organism: Dermochelys coriacea (leatherback sea turtle)
Lineage: Eukaryota; Metazoa; Chordata; Testudines; Dermochelyidae
Exons: 3
Source: RefSeq, a predicted model, not a curated record